This 352-nucleotide unclassified non-coding RNA is filed under the name soil metagenome. Its description in RNAcentral is "partial contains 5.8S ribosomal RNA, internal transcribed spacer 2, and large subunit ribosomal RNA". The stretch from base 1 to 120 matches the Rfam family "5.8S ribosomal RNA", at positions 35 to 154 of the family's 154-position model. The record is from RNAcentral.
GAUGAAGAACGCAGCGAAAUGCGAUAAGUAAUGUGAAUUGCAGAAUUCAGUGAAUCAUCGAAUCUUUGAACGCACAUUGCGCCCGCCAGUAUUCUGGCGGGCAUGCCUGUUCGAGCGUCAUUACAACCCUCAGGCCCCCGGGCCUGGCGUUGGGGAUCGGCGGAAGCCCCCUGCGGGCACAACGCCGUCCCCCAAAUACAGUGGCGGUCCCGCCGCAGCUUCCAUUGCGUAGUAGCUAACACCUCGCAACUGGAGAGCGGCGCGGCCACGCCGUAAAACACCCAACUUCUGAAUGUUGACCUCGAAUCAGGUAGGAAUACCCGCUGAACUUAAGCAUAUCAAUAAGCGAGGA